RNAcentral lists this ribosomal RNA (1442 nucleotides) under Pseudomonas aeruginosa. Its description in RNAcentral is "bacterial SSU rRNA". It matches the Rfam family "Bacterial small subunit ribosomal RNA". The record is from RNAcentral. Lineage: Bacteria; Pseudomonadati; Pseudomonadota; Gammaproteobacteria; Pseudomonadales; Pseudomonadaceae.
GGGGUCGUGCGGCGGCUACACAUGCAAGUCGAGCGGAUGAAGGGAGCUUGCUCCUGGAUUCAGCGGCGGACGGGUGAGUAAUGCCUAGGAAUCUGCCUGGUAGUGGGGGAUAACGUCCGGAAACGGGCGCUAAUACCGCAUACGUCCUGAGGGAGAAAGUGGGGGAUCUUCGGACCUCACGCUAUCAGAUGAGCCUAGGUCGGAUUAGCUAGUUGGUGGGGUAAAGGCCUACCAAGGCGACGAUCCGUAACUGGUCUGAGAGGAUGAUCAGUCACACUGGAACUGAGACACGGUCCAGACUCCUACGGGAGGCAGCAGUGGGGAAUAUUGGACAAUGGGCGAAAGCCUGAUCCAGCCAUGCCGCGUGUGUGAAGAAGGUCUUCGGAUUGUAAAGCACUUUAAGUUGGGAGGAAGGGCAGUAAGUUAAUACCUUGCUGUUUUGACGUUACCAACAGAAUAAGCACCGGCUAACUUCGUGCCAGCAGCCGCGGUAAUACGAAGGGUGCAAGCGUUAAUCGGAAUUACUGGGCGUAAAGCGCGCGUAGGUGGUUCAGCAAGUUGGAUGUGAAAUCCCCGGGCUCAACCUGGGAACUGCAUCCAAAACUACUGAGCUAGAGUACGGUAGAGGGUGGUGGAAUUUCCUGUGUAGCGGUGAAAUGCGUAGAUAUAGGAAGGAACACCAGUGGCGAAGGCGACCACCUGGACUGAUACUGACACUGAGGUGCGAAAGCGUGGGGAGCAAACAGGAUUAGAUACCCUGGUAGUCCACGCCGUAAACGAUGUCGACUAGCCGUUGGGAUCCUUGAGAUCUUAGUGGCGCAGCUAACGCGAUAAGUCGACCGCCUGGGGAGUACGGCCGCAAGGUUAAAACUCAAAUGAAUUGACGGGGGCCCGCACAAGCGGUGGAGCAUGUGGUUUAUUUCGAAAGCAACGCGAAGAACCCUUACCUGGGCCUUGACAUGCUGAGAACUUUCCAGAGAUGGAUUGGUGCCUUCGGAACUCAGACCCAGGUGCUGCAUGGCUGUCGUCAGCUCGUGUCGUGAAAUGUUGGUAAGUUCCGGUAACGAGCGCAAUCUUGUCCUAAGUACAGCACCCUCGGGGUGCCACUCCUAAGGAGACUGCCGGUGACAAACCGGAGGAAGGUGGGGAUGACGUCAAGUCAUCAUGGCCCUUACGGCCAGGGCUACACACGUGCUACAAUGGUCGGUACAAAGGGUUGCCAAGCCGCGAGGUGGAGCUAAUCCCAUAAAACCGAUCGUAGUCCGGAUCGCAGUCUGCAACUCGACUGCGUGAAGUCGGAAUCGCUAGUAAUCGUGAAUCAGAAUGUCACGGUGAAUACGUUCCCGGGCCUUGUACACACCGCCCGUCACACCAUGGGAGUGGGUUGCUCCAGAAGUAGCUAGUCUAACCGCAAGGGGGACGGUACCACGGAGAUCUGCCUU